UACGUAGGGCGCAAGCGUUAUCCGGAAUUAUUGGGCGUAAAGAGCUCGUAGGCGGUUUGUCGCGUCUGCUGUGAAAUUUCGGGGCUCAACCCCGAACUUGCAGUGGGUACGGGCAGACUAGAGUGUGGUAGGGGAGACUGGAAUUCCUGGUGUAGCGGUGAAAUGCGCAGAUAUCAGGAGGAACACCGAUGGCGAAGGCAGGUCUCUGGGCCACUACUGACGCUGAGAAGCGAAAGCAUGGGGAGCGAACAGG
Molecule: ribosomal RNA, 253 nt
Filed under: uncultured bacterium
Lineage: Bacteria
Description: partial 16S ribosomal RNA
Rfam family: Bacterial small subunit ribosomal RNA
Source: RNAcentral